CAUCUAUAAAUCCGAUCGACAGUCCAGCGCGCAAACUGCACGACCUGGCAGUCAGGAUCGUUAUCUGGGUACAUCUCUUAUGGCUAAAAUGACCAGUGUGUGUGUUUUGUAUCAAGGAUAUGCAUGUUGUUGGUUUUGAAAAAAUGUUUGAUGUGACUGCCAAGGCUUUUUACAAAUCUUUUGUAUCACAUACAACUCAAUUUACUUCUAUUGGCUGGAAAUAUUUAAAGCAUGACAGUGGCAUAGGUAAAUUACCAAAUAGUGGAUCUUAUGUUGGAUUGAUCAGCCCUGAUGAACUGACCUGACCAUUGUAAUUGAAACCAUAACUCAUGACCACUCUAUCUGUAUAGGUCCUGGUAUACCCUGGGAUGAUGUUCACCCACAACUUUUAACUUGAAAUCUUAAAGGAAGUUUUGCUAAACUAACAAGCAUGAAUGUCUGGUACAGUAAGAUAGGGUUAAUGGUCAACCUGACAUUAUGGUUCAUUCAUUGGGACAGCUAAUGUUUGUGUCUGACCAAGCAGUUCUCAAGUUAGGGCUUGAUGAAGUCUACAAACUGACCACUAUAUCUACUGGACAAAAAGGAUCAUAUUCUGACCCCCUCCCUCCCAACCAUUUUCUCUGCCUUAUC
Biomphalaria glabrata is the source of this 630-nucleotide long non-coding RNA. RefSeq lists it as uncharacterized. The transcript is spliced from 6 exons. The record is from RefSeq and is a predicted model, not a curated record. NCBI's taxonomy places the organism in Eukaryota, Metazoa, Mollusca, Gastropoda, Planorbidae.